RNAcentral lists this ribosomal RNA (841 nucleotides) under Xanthoconium porophyllum. RNAcentral describes it as "eukaryotic LSU rRNA". The stretch from base 285 to 439 matches the Rfam family "5.8S ribosomal RNA". The record is from RNAcentral. Lineage: Eukaryota; Fungi; Basidiomycota; Agaricomycetes; Boletales; Boletaceae.
UCCGUAGGUGAACUGCGGAAGGAUCAUUAUCGAACCGAAGGAUGGGGGGGAGGGGAGAGGGGGAGAGACCUGUUGCUGGCUUUUGGGUCCCUCUGAUCUCAGCAUGUGCACGGUCUUCCUUUCUCUUUCUCUCUAUUCUCUCUCACACCUGUGCACCCAUCGUAGGUCCUCGGAAGAGGAUCUAUGUUUUCUACAUCACACCCAUCGCAUGUCCAUAGAAUGUAUUACGAACGUCGACCGGCCCCUCUUCGUGGGUCGGACGGUGGUCGAAAGGAAUUAAAUACAACUUUCAGCAACGGAUCUCUUGGCUCUCGCAUCGAUGAAGAACGCAGCGAAUUGCGAUAAGUAAUGUGAAUUGCAGAUUUUCAGUGAAUCAUCGAAUCUUUGAACGCACCUUGCGCUCCUUGGUAUUCUGAGGAGCAUGCCUGUUUGAGUGUCAUCGAAUUCUCAACCAUGUCUUGAUUGACUUCUAGGCGUGGCUUGGAGUUGGGGGUUGCCGGCUGUGAAAAGCGGUCGGCUCUCCUGAAAUGCAUUAGCGAAACGGGUCAGCAAAGUCCCUGGCGUUGGCACGGCCUUCCGACGUGAUAAUGAUCGUCGUGGCUGGAGAGCGUCGGACAUGCAUGGAACGGUCUGUUUGCUUCCAAUCCCCCCCCCUAGACUUUGGAACUUGGACUUUUCGAGCGAAGCUUUUCAGCUACUAGUUGGUCGAAAGGCCGACGAACGCGCGCAGGGCUGGCUCUCCGGAGGGUCCCGAGGUCCUCUUGCAGUCUUUUCCGAACGCUUGACCUCAAAUCAGGUAGGACUACCCGCUGAACUUAAGCAUAUCAAUAAGCGGAGGAAA